Long non-coding RNA from Oryza sativa Japonica Group (Japanese rice), 1487 nucleotides. RefSeq lists it as uncharacterized. The record is from RefSeq and is a predicted model, not a curated record. Lineage: Eukaryota; Viridiplantae; Streptophyta; Magnoliopsida; Poales; Poaceae.
CACCCAACGCUCCUCUCCCCGUAACUCCCGUCCCCCACGGUCGCCCCAAAUCUCGCGAAACCGCCGAAGAAGCUGUCGGGCUCGUCGUCGCCAAGCCGAUCUCCUCCGCGCCGCCAGAACUUCGUCGCCUCUUCUAGAAACACGACGCGCACAGACAGAGAGAGAAAAGAGGAGAAAAAGAAAAGCGGCAAAAGUCGGGAAUCCCAAGAGCAAGGAGCGGGCGUGCUUGGCCGCAGUUGCCGGGGACCCCCAACGUCAUCUUCGUCGGCACGGAAGAAGACGGCAUCUUCGCCGUCGAGCUCGAUUCGCUGAGCGUCAGGAAAGUGUGCGAAUUGGACAAAUCACAAGACCUUUUCUUCCCCUUCGUCAGCUACUACGCCGAGUCAUUCCUGCUGAGCCUAUCAAGCAGCAAAUUGCCAGCACCAGCGGCAAAUUAAUCCACCAUCUUGCAGUCUGAUCGAUGUUCUUCGGUGAUUUGUUUCGUCUGCGGAAAGUUCAGGGAGACAAGUAGUUUAGUUCGAUCACUUGGUCAGUUAGCAUAGUUCCUGACGAUUUUUUUGUUGUGGUGUUCUUCUUAUCAAAUUGUGACCAUGGAUCGAACACUUAUUUCAAUCGAUCAGUUUCAGCAUACGCGAGUCAUUUUGUUUCAGUCAAUGCCUGACACAACCAUCAAGUGUUCUGAAAAAUGAAUCGUUGUGGUUCAGUCUCAGUCGGAUUGGGGGGAAUUGGGAGGGUUUUGGGUCUAAUUGGUGUCACUUUUCUGAUCAUCGAGUCGUCGUCCGCGGAGAAGACUAAUAUCACUCAUGAGUUAAAUUUUAGUGGGAGUUAAAUUUUAACUCAUGGUGACGUGGACGAAUCUCGGACGUUCAUUUCUCGAUCCAAUGGUAUAAGGUGAGAGUUGCAUAGUUGCACUGAAUUAGGUGAUUGCACCGGAUACUUCCCCGUGACCAUGAGACUUUGGACAUGGUGAUUUAGUAAGGAGAGCUAAUUUUCUGCUGUUGGGACGUGGUAAAUUCUCUUCUACCAAACCAUCUGAUGUGCUAGCUCUUACCGUGCUUGUCUAUAUAUGCUAAAAUCACUUCUAAGAACUAUAUGAUGUUUCCGGCAAGAGAGUCAAAUCGAUAUUGUUCAGAAUCAAGAUACAUGAAUAUUGAUCUCUGCAAUCUUCAGUGAGUGUUGAGUUCUGUGUGAGGAUGUAAGUAGGGGACAAGCUCUAUCAGUCUAAAGAAAUAAAGAAUAGUAUUAAUCUUACUUUGAUUUAAUAGUCGAUAUGCCCUCUGUGUAAGCUGUUCCUUGGUUCUUGUAAAAGAAAGAAAUGCACCUCGCUGGCUAGGUUAGCAUUUUUAUCAGAAAUUUUUAUCUGAAUUGAUUCCUAAAUAUAGAUACAUGGUGCACUAUUUUUGGUCUAAAAUGGAGUUGAUUCCUGCUUGUCUGUACUUGGAGCAAGCAGCUCAGUCCAUGGAUGCCUUGCUACGUGUAUUGACACG